RNAcentral lists this ribosomal RNA (514 nucleotides) under uncultured bacterium. RNAcentral's name for it is "partial 16S ribosomal RNA". It matches the Rfam family "Bacterial small subunit ribosomal RNA", at positions 28 to 523 of the family's 1533-position model. The record is from RNAcentral.
GACGAACGCUGGCGGCGUGCCUAAUACAUGCAAGUCGAGCGGACUUAAAAGGAGCUUGCUCCUUUUAAGUUAGCGGCGGACGGGUGAGUAACACGUGGGCAACCUGCCCUAUAGUUUGGGAUAACUCCGGGAAACCGGGGCUAAUACCGAAUAAUACAUUUUAACUCCUGUUAGAAUGUUGAAAGAUGGUUUACGCUAUCGCUAUAGGAUGGGCCCGCGGCGCAUUAGCUAGUAGGUGAGGUAACGGCUCACCUAGGCGACGAUGCGUAGCCGACCUGAGAGGGUGAUCGGCCACACUGGGACUGAGACACGGCCCAGACUCCUACGGGAGGCAGCAGUAGGGAAUCCUCCACAAUGGACGAAAGUCUGAUGGAGCAACGCCGCGUGAGUGAAGAAGGUUUUCGGAUCGUAAAACUCUGUUGUAAGGGAAGAACAAGUGCAGUAGUAACUGGCUGCACCUUGACGGUACCUUAUCAGAAAGCCACGGCUAACUACGUGCCAGCCGCCGCAGUAA